This 490-nucleotide ribosomal RNA is filed under the name uncultured bacterium. RNAcentral describes it as "partial 16S ribosomal RNA". It matches the Rfam family "Bacterial small subunit ribosomal RNA", at positions 30 to 507 of the family's 1533-position model. The record is from RNAcentral.
UGAACGCUGGCGGUAGGCCUAGCACAUGCAAGUCGAACGGCAGCACAGUAAGAGCUUGCUCUUACGGGUGGCGAGUGGCGGACGGGUGAGGAAUACAUCGGAAUCUACUUUUUCGUGGGGGAUAACGUAGGGAAACUUACGCUAAUACCGCAUACGACCUACGGGUGAAAGCAGGGGAUCUUCGGACCUUGCGCGAUUGAAUGAGCCGAUGUCGGAUUAGCUAGUUGGCGGGGUAAAGGCCCACCAAGGCGACGAUCCGUAGCUGGUCUGAGAGGAUGAUCAGCCACACUGGAACUGAGACACGGUCCAGACUCCUACGGGAGGCAGCAGUGGGGAAUAUUGGACAAUGGGCGCAAGCCUGAUCCAGCCAUACCGCGUGGGUGAAGAAGGCCUUCGGGUUGUAAAGCCCUUUUGUUGGGAAAGAAAAGCAGCAGGUUAAUACCCCGCUGUUCUGACGGUACCCAAAGAAUAAGCACCGGCUAACUUCGUG